Molecule: long non-coding RNA, 235 nt
Filed under: Phasianus colchicus (ring-necked pheasant)
Lineage: Eukaryota; Metazoa; Chordata; Aves; Galliformes; Phasianidae
Description: lncRNA (ENSPCLG00000005844.1)
Source: RNAcentral
AAUAACAAACCACUCAAAUCUAAACAGUUCUUAAGGAGAAAUCACUAUUCCUGAACUGGCAUGCAUUCUCUGAGUGACAAGCAAUAGACUUUGGCUGCCAUAAAAGUUGAGGAUUGUGCCACACUUCUCAGGAUUUCAUGCAGAGGCAGCCUAGACAGGCAGAUGCAAUGAGAAACUGCAUGCCAGAUGUUAUGAAAUAGCUUGAAUCAAUAGAAGAAACUGCAGACCCCUUUUC